GAGCUUCUCCUUCGGGAGCAGAGUGACAGGUGGUGCAUGGUUGUCGUCAGCUCGUGUCGUGAGAUGUUGGGUUAAGUCCCGCAACGAGCGCAACCCUUGAUCUUAGUUGCCAUCAUUAAGUUGGGCACUCUAAGGUGACUGCCGGUGACAAACCGGAGGAAGGUGGGGAUGACGUCAAAUCAUCAUGCCCCUUAUGACCUGGGCUACACACGUGCUACAAUGGACGGUACAAAGAGCUGCAAGACCGCGAGGUGGAGCUAAUCUCAUAAAACCGUUCUCAGUUCGGAUUGUAGGCUGCAACUCGCCUACAUGAAGCUGGAAUCGCUAGUAAUCGCGGAUCAGCAUGCCGCGGUGAAUACGUUCCCGGGCCUUGUACACACCG
This 382-nucleotide ribosomal RNA is filed under the name uncultured Bacillus sp. Its description in RNAcentral is "bacterial SSU rRNA". It matches the Rfam family "Bacterial small subunit ribosomal RNA", at positions 1009 to 1392 of the family's 1533-position model. The record is from RNAcentral. Lineage: Bacteria; Bacillati; Bacillota; Bacilli; Caryophanales; Bacillaceae.